Long non-coding RNA from Mus musculus (house mouse), 1816 nucleotides. RefSeq annotates it as predicted gene, 38477. The record is from RefSeq and is a predicted model, not a curated record. The transcript has 6 exons. Lineage: Eukaryota; Metazoa; Chordata; Mammalia; Rodentia; Muridae.
CCCGGAUGAAAACGUUGUAUGACAGAUCCGAAGUUAAAGUAGCUAUGGUUUGGUGUUGGCACACCAUGAGGAGUUUAACUGAUGCAUGUACGCUGCAGGUUCUCACCACUCCAUGAGAGAUGGGAUGAACACCGUUUCAUUUUAGGAAAUUUCAGCCACUGCAUGGCCUUUAGCACUGAAAACGACUGAAUUCUCAACCCACGUUGGCUUCUUUUCAGCUAUCUGACUUCAACAUGGCUGUUCACUCGGAUGGAUUAAUUUGCCAUGCUCACUGCUGUUUCGUCUGCUUUGUUACUUUCUCCCUGAAGCAGAGGCGAUGAAAGGUUCAGAUUGUUGCCCUUGUGAGAAGAACUCAUAGUGCUGUGAAAACGGACUCAAGAAGCAACUCAUGGUGAGCUAAACUGAAUGCACCCUGUUGUUCCAAGCGGGAGUUUUUCUUGCCUCAGCCAACUGACAGCAGACUCUCAGACCUGAUAGUUCACGAUUGGAGAGAAUGCAAGCAGAACAGAGACAGGAACUCUGAAUGUGGAGGGGAGAUACCUACUCGCUGCACUCCCAAAGCAAACAUUUUCACUGCUAAUCUGAAGUAUAUCCAGCUACGCAUUGAAGUGGAACCUUUUCUUCAUCAUCCGAGAUUGUGGAAAACACCAACAUCCUUGAAAACAUAAGCUGAAAUCAAGGACAGAGUGUGCAUAAAGUGGAGAAAACUGGUUUUCCGUGCAUUAAGGUCCCUACUGUUGGAAGUGAAGACUUUCACCAGGGUAUACAAUGAAAGGGUAUGGUGAAUUUUAAUCUGCUAUGGCUGCCCGUUAAUUUUAGCUCCUUAUAACAGACAAACGAGGAAAAGAAGACAUGAAGGCAAGUUACUCUCAGGAAUAGAAACUCUUUGAAAUCAAGGGUACCAUGGAUCCGCUAAUGUGCUUCCAUCCAGUAUUCUUCUGUCCACUAUGGCAAGAUGGUACUAGACAAACAGCAAUCACAGUCAGGAAUGACAUUUGGACCAUAAAAAAACCUCCUCAGAGAUAAACACGGAGUCACAGAACAGGCCACACACUUUGCAGACUGGUGUAAGAUGAGAGCGAUGAAAAGGAUUUGCCAGAAAUCACCUGCUUUGUCUUCUUUGCAAGUCAAGAAAAGCUGGAUAAAGACCUUCUUCUUACCAUUCCAUAGCGUUUUAAAGCCAAUUCUGACCCUCAUGAAGGACGCAUGAAAUCCUGAUACUUGACUGAAUUUAUUUAUGUAUUAGCUAUUCUCUCACUAUGGCAAUGUGCAGCAGUGGCCGGCAGCCCAGAACAACUCAUUCUCUCUUACCCCACCCCCAUGCUUCCAGGAAGUAGCACAUUGCUGGUUAACAGACCAGGCUAUAGAACACUUUGCUUUCUCGAAAUUCCUGUGACUAUAUUGAAUUGUCUGCCAACCAUAUACAUAUGGAUAACUAAAAAUGUGAGAGGCAUGUAUUUUUCCAGUCACAUUUAAUUGCAUCAGCAUGGCAUUCUCUUGGCUUUUGUAGCAACAGCUAAUGAGCCAUAUGUGGAAGGGUCCAGAUGUUUGGAUUAUAUGCUCUUCCAAUCCAUUAUGCAAAUGUCCAUUUAUGACAACGUGUGGCAUUGUGUGGAGAGAAGAAGGGCUGCAUCACCAGUAAGGAAAUCAAAGUGGAGGCUAAUUACACUGCUGCUCUUUGCAAAUGGGGAAUUUCUUUCUGAGCGUGUUAUUUUCAAUAUGAAAUGAUGGGGUUGAAAAAUGAUUUGUGGUUUGUAUUUUCAUGGACCCUUUACUUGUUAUUAUUUAGGUAACCAUAUGUCUACUUUAAAUAGCU